Molecule: ribosomal RNA, 253 nt
Filed under: uncultured bacterium
Lineage: Bacteria
Description: partial 16S ribosomal RNA
Rfam family: Bacterial small subunit ribosomal RNA
Source: RNAcentral
UACGAAGGGGGCUAGCGUUGCUCGGAAUGACUGGGCGUAAAGCGUGCGCAGGCGGCUUUCCAAGUCAGUGGUGAAAGCCCGGAGCUCAACUCCGGAAAUGCCAUUGAAACUGUGAAGCUUGAGAACGAGAGAGGUGAGUGGAAUUCCCAGUGUAGAGGUGAAAUUCGUAGAUAUUGGGAAGAACACCAGUGGCGAAGGCGGCUCACUGGCUCGUAACUGACGCUCAUGCACGACAGCGUGGGGAUCAAACAGG